This 433-nucleotide ribosomal RNA is filed under the name uncultured bacterium. Its description in RNAcentral is "partial 16S ribosomal RNA". It matches the Rfam family "Bacterial small subunit ribosomal RNA", at positions 29 to 507 of the family's 1533-position model. The record is from RNAcentral.
AACGAACGCUGGCGGCAUGCCUAACACAUGCAAGUCGAACGAGACCUUCGGGUCUAGUGGCGCACGGGUGCGUAACGCGUGGGAACCUGCCCUUAGGUUCGGAAUAACUCCCCGAAAGGGGUGCUAAUACCGGAUAAUGUCUUCGGACCAAAGAUUUAUCGCCUUUGGAUGGGCCCGCGUUGGAUUAGCUAGUUGGUAGGGUAAAAGCCUACCAAGGCGUCGAUCCAUAGCUGGUCUGAGAGGAUGGUCAGCCACACUGAGACUGAGACACGGCCCAGACUCCUACGGGAGGCAGCAGUGGGGAAUAUUGGACAAUCGGCGAAAGCCUGAUCCAGUAAGGCCGCGUGAGUGAUGAAGUCCUUAGGGUAGUAAAGCACUUUUACCCGGGAUGAUAAUGACAGUACCGGGAGAAUAAGCUCCGGCUAACUCCGUG